GGGGCGGUGCGGAGCGGGGCAAUGGGCGCGGAGCGGUGCGGAGCAAUGGGCGCGGGGCGGUGCGGAGCGGAGCAAUGGGCGCGGGGCGGUGCGGAGCGGGGCAAUGGGCGCGGAGCGGGGCGCGGGGCGCGGCGCUGGCUCCGGCCGCCGCCAAACCCCGCCUCGGGGCCGCUCAACCCGGUGGCCCGGCGGCGGUCAUUUCCGUGAGGGGCUUGUCCCGGCUGUCGACGCGCUGAGGUCACUCUGGGAAGUUGCAUUUGCACCUUUUAUUUUUUUUUUUAAUUUAAUUUUAUUUAUUUAUUUUUUCUCCCUAGAAACGGGAUCUCAGCGCGCGUGUCGCCCAGCUGCGUGGAAGCGCUCAAAGGGAAGUUCGAGCGCUUCCCCUGAAGAGGCAGAGCCAAAUCUCUAGGAAAUCCUGCGGGUUAAGUGUUGUGGUGCGGGAGAGGUGGGUUUUGUGGUCUCCCGCCCCCCACCGGGGCUAGCGAGGGGUAUGAGGGCAACACCAGCCGCUCUGCCCCGGGGAUGAAGGUUGGGGAUGUUCCCGGCUCUUUGAUUCAGACCGCAGUUCCUACUCUGGAUUUCUGUUUUAUGAGGGUCUCAGCGUAAGUGGGUUCCCGCUGCCAGCUCCAGCCAAGAGGCAGGGAAAAGGCUUUGCAGCCCGCUUCAUGCAAGGCACCAGAAAAUCCCAGCGGGCAUCCCUUCUGCGUCUCUUGGAGGCACCGUUUCUAGAAGCCAUAUUUUUGAAGGCUUUUGGCCAGCUGCACAAUACAUCUUUCUAUUUCUUUUGCAAUUAGCAAGCGUUCGGCCUCUUUUCCCUAUGCUAGAAUAAACCCAGCCUCUCAGGAGUGGUUACAGUGCAGCUGAUCUCACUUUGGAGAAAGACGGGGCUCUUGGAACCCAUGCUUUCUGUUAUUUUCUGAGUGUUUUGACACCCUGUUAGCUCUACAGACUUCUCAGUGGACUUCCUGAUCCUUGAAAAAGCAUUUAUUGUACAUUUUUAUGCCUCGUCUCAAUUGUCCCUCAAUUUGGUUAUAAUGCCACCUCUGCUGUGGUUUGUGCUUAACACAUCAGUGCUUACGGUUCUUUCGAUUUUCUUCUCCGAACGCAACUUGGUUUUAAUAACCUCCUUGGCUCUGCUGCUUCUUUUUGCCCUUUAUCUAGUCUUUUCUGACACUGAUGUGCACUUACUCUGCCGCUAUGAUCACGUUUCUAUCUACCCUUCAAAAGCCUUUAGUGUCUUAGAUGUUCCUGUUACCUUCUUCUUCAAAAGCUUCCAUAUUUUUACACAGUUCCCCUGUUCUGAGAACGGGCACAACUGUUCUGUAUUGCCUUAUUGCGAUGGACCACAAAAGUAGAGGGGCAGGAACUGAAAAGCAGAAGGCACCAGAGAUGAAGACAAUGAGGUGCAGGACUUUAUUUCUGUACAUCGCCAUUGCUUCAGUUAAUAUUCAAGGGGUAUGUCUUAAAGUUAACCACACAGACUAGGCAGAGAGCCAGAGAAAUAAUAAGGUUAUUUUCUUGCUUCAGAUCGUGUUGUGGAGGGACUGAAAACAGUCUAAGCAUAGGAGGUGUGCCACGAAGUUAUCACCCUGCCCCUGCAGCACGGGAGAUAACGGUCCAGUACAGAGGAAGGCUGCAAAGGGAAUGGAUUAUGAAAAGCAGCUUUUAUUUUUAGUUAAAAUUUAAACACAGUAUUGACACAAAGCAAUACUCAAUGGGGAAAAAUCUACCCAAACGACAAACCUUGGGGACUUUACAAACAUGCACAGAAUUGAACCCUCGGCAGCACCAGUCAGCUUGAGUCGUGCGGCCCUGUGGCAAACGACGUGUUCUUGUAAACUCUUCCUUUUUUCCUAAUGCAGCCCAUGAGCGGCUUUACUGCACUUUGCCAAAGGGUUGGAGUCCUUACACCGACCAUUUGAACUUCAGUGUUUGCAUUUCUGAGGGGACGAUAAACGGGGCAUGAAUAUUUCAUACGUUCCCCUGAUAGGUGAAAUAUUUUAAAACUCCCAUAGUCAAAACAGCGCAUCGGUUAAGGCAUUGUGGCUGUCCCCAUGGAAUCUGUAACAGAGAUAAGCUCCGUUCCUUCCUACGAGGACAGGAAGCAUGGAAACAAUUUGCUUCGUGCACCAUUAUGUUUCAACAUUUCUUAGGUAAUUUGUUUGAGGACUUGCAGUUAUCUCUGGCAAACAAUUUACCUUGGCAAUAUUGUUUUCUGUGGAAAUGGGUUCCAAACCUGCAGGACUUGCAGAAGAACCAAAGUCCUGACAUGCCUGGUAAUGUUUUCAGCACGGCAAAACCAAUGCGAGGCAUAUUAAAACAAGUCUAGGAUGUGCUCCACGCGCUUAGCAAAAACGUGGGGAAGAAAAUAUUAAACUGAUUUGUUUGUUUUGAAGUUCAGGAGGAAAUGAGGAACCUGUGACUGAUGCAUGGCGCUGAACGUACGGAGAACAAAAGCCGAAUUUCAAUAUCUCUGGUUAGCAUAAAUUUGCUAACUUGCUCUUAAGCAUCUUCAAUGUUGACCAUCGAGCUUCUCAUUGCGUAGUGAACACUUUAAACAGCACUGCCUCUUUUAAAUCCAGCUGCCUGGCAAAGGAAGUUGGUAUGUUAGGACUAUAUUCCAUCAGAAAAUAUACUCCGACACCCUCAGAAAUCAAGGGCCUGCAAAAUUAAGUGUAGCUCUGCGGUCCAAACUGGUUCUCAAGAUCUUUGAGUGCGGACUGUAUUUGCUGUACAAAGCUCUCUGGUCUCUCUAGCAGCGUCUGAGCAGAAAUCAAAGGCAAGAGAACAAAACCAAAAAUGCAUCACGGCCUCUCCUCCUCAGAGAGCUGCAAAUGCAAAUGGAUUUUCAGAACAACACCCAGAAAUAACGGCUAGGCUCACACUGGUAGUGUGAGACCCAGACAUGCCUGAACUUCAAGAACAUUCAGAUCCAGGCGAGAAGUUCCUGGUUUCAGCCUAUACUUGUUACAUGUCAUUAUGUGUGAUGUUUCUUUAAAAAAUUGUCCAAUAACUGCCUUGUCUAUGCACCUUUUCUCCCUGCAUUUGCACCUGGAGGAACGCCGUUCACCCAUGUCACGUGGCCAGUAUGACUAACGCUAUUUUAGGCCGCCCCUGGGGCUGCAGAAAUAAGUGAUGCACCAUCCACUGGGCAAACGCACUAGUUACGCUGCGGUGACAAGCCAUUAAACAUCAGUUCUCCCAAAAUCGAUUGCAAAACUUCCACUGAAUUAGAUGCUCUUUCUGAUAAAGCAUGCAUGGGAACUGCUGAAGUAUACAGCCUCCUGGGCGUGACAACAUGCAGAGUCCUGUCUAGUGUGUGAAACCCAGCUGCCAGGAAAUAGAAUACUACGGACAAAAGCAAGCUGUUCUGAAGUCCCUAAUAUUUCAGCACAGAAGCAAAGGGAAACACAAAAAGUAAAGCAGAAACACACACAAACACUGGGCAGCUGCAUUUCAUUGCACUUAUAGGCAGAUACAACCCCUCAUGCGCUUGCUGCCCGUGUCCCACUAGAUGGUGUUCAUGCUACAAGAAAAAACAGGAUGCAGAAGCGUGCCCGAGCUGUCAGAAUUGGUUUGUCACCCUUCAGCUUUUUUGUGUGUUUUAAAUGUAUCAACAGCUCUCACACUG
Phalacrocorax carbo (great cormorant) is the source of this 3631-nucleotide non-coding RNA. Lineage: Eukaryota; Metazoa; Chordata; Aves; Suliformes; Phalacrocoracidae. The record is from RefSeq and is a predicted model, not a curated record.